GAUGAAGAACGUAGCGAAAUGCGAUACGUAAUGUGAAUUGCAGAAUUCAGUGAAUCAUCGAAACUUUGAACGCAUACUGCGCUCUUUGGUAUUCCGAAGAGCAUGCUUGUUUGAGUAUCAGUAAACACCUCAACCUCUUCUUGAUUUUUCAAAAGGAGGGUGGACUUGAGCUAUCCCAACAACCUUUACCGGUCGGCGGGCGGCUUGAAAUGCAGGUGCAGCUGGACUUUUAUCUGAGCUAAAAGCAUAUCUAUUUAGUCCUCGUCAAACAGGAUUAUUACUUUUGCUGCAGCUAACAUAAAGGAUAAUUGUCCUCUUUGCUGACUGAUGCAGGAUUUUACGACACUUUAUGUGUUGUUCAACUCGAUCUCAAAUCAAGUAAGACUACCCGCUGAACUUAAGCAUAUCAAUAAGCGGAGGA
This 421-nucleotide unclassified non-coding RNA is filed under the name soil metagenome. Its description in RNAcentral is "partial contains 5.8S ribosomal RNA, internal transcribed spacer 2, and large subunit ribosomal RNA". The stretch from base 1 to 120 matches the Rfam family "5.8S ribosomal RNA", at positions 35 to 154 of the family's 154-position model. The record is from RNAcentral.